AUUGAACGCUGGCGGCAGGCCUAACACAUGCAAGUCGAACGAGUGGCGGACGGGUGAGUAAUGUCUGGGAAACUGCCUGAUGGAGGGGGAUAACUCCUGGAAACGGUAGCUAAUACCGCAUACCAUCAGAUGUGCCCAGAUGGGAUUAGCCAGUUGGUGGGGUAACGGCUCACCAAGGCAACUGUCCCUAGCUGGUCUCAGAGGAUGACCAGCCACACAGUAACUGAGACACGGUCCAGACUCCUACGGGAGGCAGCAGUGGGGAAUAGUGCACAAUGGGCGCAAGCCUGAUGCAGCCAUGCCGCGUGUAUGAAGAAGGCCUUCGGGUUGUAAAGGACUUUCAGCGGGGAGGCGUUACCCGCAGAAGAAGCACCGGCUAACUCCGUGCCAGCCGCCGCGGUAAUUC
RNAcentral lists this ribosomal RNA (406 nucleotides) under uncultured bacterium. RNAcentral describes it as "partial 16S ribosomal RNA". It matches the Rfam family "Bacterial small subunit ribosomal RNA", at positions 30 to 526 of the family's 1533-position model. The record is from RNAcentral.